This 1025-nucleotide long non-coding RNA is filed under the name Marmota monax (woodchuck). Lineage: Eukaryota; Metazoa; Chordata; Mammalia; Rodentia; Sciuridae. The record is from RNAcentral.
UAGUACUUCGUGACAAGUGUUGAAACUCUGUCCAACGCGCAGUUCUGUAAACCUCAACUCCCAGUCGGCUAAAGAAGCCAAGUCAAGGGAACUGAGCAUUGCCUUCUGGGAAUUGGAGUCCUCACAUAGAUGGCAAAUAAAAAUUUGGAGUUGCCUUGGUGAUUCUUUUCUGUCAGAGCUAUUAGAGAAGCUACCAGACUUCCUAAAGCACAGAAGCUACUUUCAACAACUUUAUAAAUUCGACUUCUCUCGUUGCUUUCCAUGUCACCUCCUGCGUAAAUCUAGUACAAUUGGCAUUACAUAUACCUCAAAAGUCUUGAGCCUGAGUCCUUAUCGUCAACAUUUGCCACUGAUUGUAUCUAACCAAACAUUCUCUCUGAUCCUGGGAAAACAGGCCUCAAAAACAUUAAGCAGGCACUUCAACCACUAUAAUCUCUGCUUUCACUAGAGGAUGUUAACUAGUGUGAGCUAAUUCUUACAUAUUUUUAUUGCUACAAAAGACAUUCUACUCCAUGGAUAUGAAACUUGACUAGGUUUUGUUAAACCCCUAUCCUAACAAAAUCAUCCCAAGACCACCAGGGGCAAACUUGUCAAACCACAGACAAGGUCAAGUUCAUUGACCCAUUCUGAUGAGGAAAAUAGAAUACCAGAGGAACCAUAAGAUAUCUCAGGAAAUGAAGGAAAUAAGAUUUAUAGAAUUGGGGGGAAGGAUGGACUUAAGUGAAAUUUAAGAGUAUAUGACAAUCAAAGCUAGGCUGUGUGUAAAGAGGUCAACAUCAUAUCUGGACUAUAAUGUCAGGGUCCUGUUUCUUGGAAAUUACAAAGUUACUAUAUAUGUAGAAUGUUGUAUUCAGGUGCCCCUUCCAUGAAGCAAGCCUUUACCAGUUAAGUUGGACACUGAGACUGCUACUCUGUGUCAAAGUAACUUAGAUCCUCCAAGAAAGAGUAGAAUGUUUCAUUCUUACAGAUAUAAUUUCAAGCAACAUGUUUCCUUAAAUUGUACAAUUUUAAAGAACAAAUUUUUC